This 460-nucleotide ribosomal RNA is filed under the name uncultured bacterium. RNAcentral describes it as "partial 16S ribosomal RNA". It matches the Rfam family "Bacterial small subunit ribosomal RNA", at positions 338 to 795 of the family's 1533-position model. The record is from RNAcentral.
CCUACGGGAGGCAGCAGUGAGGAAUAUUGGUCAAUGGGCGUAAGCCUGAACCAGCCAAGUCGCGUGAGGGAUGAAGGUUCUAUGGAUCGUAAACCUCUUUUAUAAGGGAAUAAAGUGUGGGACGUGUCCUGUUUUGUAUGUACCUUAUGAAUAAGGAUCGGCUAACUCCGUGCCAGCAGCCGCGGUAAUACGGAGGAUCCGAGCGUUAUCCGGAUUUAUUGGGUUUAAAGGGUGCGUAGGCGGGCUUUGAAGUCAGCGGUGAAAGUGUGUGGCUCAACCAUAGAAUGGCCGUUGAAACUGGGGGGUUUGAGUUUGUUAGAGGCAGGCGGAAGGCGUGGGGUAGCGGGGAAAGGCUUAGAUAUCACGCAGAACCCCGAGUGCGAAGGCAGCCUACCGGGGCAUAACUGACGCUGAUGCACGAAAGCGUGGGGAUCAAACAGGAUUAGAUACCCGAGUAGUC